UACAGCUGACCCAUUGGGUUAAAAUGGCGCGUGAGAAGUCAUUUUGUAUGGACUAUAUAGAUGUUGGUUUUACGUUCGUGAAAAUUGAGAAAUCUUUCGUGACAAAGACUAUGACGUUUCUAGUUAUUGUACAGAAUAGAUCCUUGUCCAUAUUUGGAUUCAACCCACGAUAUGAAUGUCAAAGAAAUACAAUCCUUAAACUAUCUUUGUUAUAUUUUAUAUUCAAAAGACAUUUAAAUCUAAGUUAUAUUUAGAAGACACUGCCCUAUGGGCAUAUUAUACAAUCUAUUUUUUCUUAGCUUAUCUUAGCCUGUCGUAAGUAGGUAUAUAACCAAAAUCCUGUCAGAACAUUUUCUGUCGCACUCACUCGGCGUUCAUCAGAAGCGUACAUCCGAUCUGACCAUGUGAGACUUGUCUGCGUUGUUGCCAGACUUAUAUGAGCUAUCGCUUUUACCCGAACGGAGGUUCCCUGAAAUAGACCGAGAUAACAAUACCUAGUUGACACAUGGAUGCUUGUCUGCAAAGUUUGAACUCAAAUGCUCAUACAUUUUAUCAGACAAUUUCUGACAAUAUGCGACUGGCCAGUAAAAAAUAGAUUGUAUAAUAGCCCAAAGUUGUUUUGUAUAUUUUGUGCAAUUUAGUCUUAUUUAAGUCUUCGCUUUUUUGUUAUUCCGUCAAUUGAGGACAAUCCUAUAUACAUGAACAGUUAGACACGUAUGUUAAAAUAAAUAUUUAGACUAAGGCAAAAUUUUAUUGUCUUAUCUGUCUGUCAAGUUUUCACUUGUUUUCCUGUGUCUAACUGUUCAGUACAAAAUGACUUCUCCGCGCCAUUUUAACUCUAUGGGUCAACUGUCAUGUCAAAAAUACGAUACUAAAAUCGUGCUUUUUGACAGGUUAUUUGACACAUAAAGUCUUUUGACUUUUUUGGUGCGUGAGAACUCAUUUUUCACGCAUUAUACACCAGUCGAUCGAUAGAAAAAUGUUAAAGGAAAAUUAAUAAGUAGUAAAUGAAUAAGAUCGACAAAUGUAUAUUUUUCCUAUUAUAUUAAUGUAUAAAGCACCCAAAAGAUAUUUACUGGCGACACGAUCUCCACAAUUUAAAGUAUCUUAGAGACAGAUACAAAUAUUUUUUCAUAAGAAUAUUAUACUUAAUAACAUUAAUAUUUAUAAAAUCCCUCUAAAACUCCUAACUUCAAAUUGGUAAAAUCCCACUAAAAAUACUUAAAUUAAAAAUAGUUAUUCAUUUCGUUAUAAUUUAAAAGUUACUUAUAAGUAAACGAAAAACCGUUUCUUUUUUCUAUUCACUGUAAAUAUAAAUUUCAUUGAAAUUAAAUCUUCAUAACACAUUCAAUUACAAUAAUAUAAUUAUAAUCAAUGAUGUUUUACUUUAUAUUAUUUUUAAUGCAUGUUGUAAAUAUAAUAUGAAGUUAAAUUGUAAUUAAUUGAGAGAGUUAUUCUGUAACAUCUUUUCUUCAUUUGUGCAAUUUUAUGAUUAUUUAUUAUUAUUCACAUCAUUAUUAAUAUUUAGUCUUAAGGAACUCAUUUUUUUACAGUGAUAGAAUAUAAACUUAUGAUAAAUAAUAAUAUAAACUAAAAUAUAUUUGAACAUGAAAACAUUUAUAAAGUUUCGUCAAAUUAAAGUUUGACAUAUGUAUAAUGGUUGCGCAGAAAUCUCUGAACCUCACUAAAUAUACUUACAGGCCUAAAAAUAAUGCUAUCUUCUUGCUCAGGAAGUAUUUUGAGAAAGAUAAACACAUAAGUUUGAACUGACAGAUAAAAUUAAAUCGCCUUUUUUUCACUGAAUGGAAUAUGAACUAAACUUUUUAGUUUAGUUUCAGUUCUACCAAAUGUAGGGCCAAUAACACAGAAUGUAAUUUUGAAUACUUAUGAUUUUAGAAUAUUUAUGAAUAUUUCAAAUUAGUUUAGAUUUAUAAAAGCUGCUAAUAAAAUCCUCUUGUAUUUUAGUUUCGGAUUAGGAUAACAAGGGUUGUGAUUUAUUUAUCUCUUUAUUUUUCCGGCACAAAAGCUAUUGUUUUUUCUAUUUGUGAUUUGGAUAGAUAAUUUCGAAUAGCAUUACUGAUAUUUUCUUAGUUAAUUCAGAUUAAUUUGUUAUUGUGAUAAUAAAAAUAUAUGUACUUACUAAAAAUUAAAAUCUGCUAAUGUAAAAAUGUUCAGUUUUGUUUCUUGUGAAAAUAAAAUGUCAAUUUUUGUUUGCGGACUUAUUAUUACUGUCAUAAUUAUUAAUUAAUAGAAUUUUUGUAAUUUUUGAAUUAAAAUGAUGUAAGUAAUGUUAAUUUUACUAAACACUGACAAUGAAAUGUGGGCUAUACUGAAUAUUUAAAUUACAUAGCGUUAUGUAAUAUUGUGUAAAAGUGUAUAAAUAUUAUAGGUGAUUUACAAUAUUGAUUGUAAACAAAACCCCGCGUGUCUUGUGAUACUAACAGGGUCACAUAGAUAAAUAUUAGAAUAUGUAUAUAUUUAAGUUCUGGUUAUUUCUAUUAUCACUAUUUUUGCGUGAGUUGAAUGCCAUAGGGUCUAAGUUUCUUUUAAUAUUAUUGGCAACCCUAGAAAUCUAAAUAACAUCUUAUCACCGCCAACAUUGGUAGAAGGCGUCGAAACACAAAAACAGAGUAAAAUAGACCUAAAGAUCUACGAAUUACAAUCGAAAUUCAAUAUCACUUUUUUAUUUUCGCAAGAUUUCCGCUUGAAGCGCUGGUUGUUGAUGUAUAGAGCAAAAUUGAGCUUUAAAAUAAUGCAGUUAAGGUUUAGUUUCGAUGCUCAAAUUCUAUCAACUUUAUACAGCAAAGUUUGAUAAUUGAUUUCUAGCUUAAAUCAGGAUGACAUUCAUCUCCCGCGCUACUGUAUAUUUUCAAAAUAGUAUACAUAAUAUGCUACAUGGUUCAAAUGAAGUAAUAUAAAUAAUUUUGUUUAGUACAAAUUUAAUAUUGCACUUUUUUAUAUAAUAUUAAGACCCAAUUCUGUUCUCUCUAUCUCUGAAUUAAAUUGACAGGUCUAAAGCUGAGAUCUACACAGCGCACUUUCACUUUGCUCAGACUUAAGUCACUGUUAAAACGAGACAGCGUUAUACCGCUGGCAUAAAUCUGUCUCGCUUUAACUGAAACUUAAGUCUCAGCAAAGUCGAAGUGCGUUCUAUAGAUUUCAACCUUAAUAUAGUGCUAUCCUUGUCAAUAUAGUUUAGCUUAAAAAUUGUGUACAACAGAAUUGGUAUCAAUAUUCGUUUCCGUGAUUGGAAACUGCUAUGGAAUGGAAACAUUUAAUUUUUUGUGACAUGGUUUCAAUGUUUUAACUCUGAAAACAAUUUAUGUAUUUAAACACCAAAAUAAAAUAGUUGUUAGGUAAUGAUUUUUAAAUCAAUUGAAUUGAAUAAUUUAUUAUAGUUUAAUAUAAUAUUUAUUAAUAAAUAAUUAAUAUAGGUAAUAAAUAAAUGAAAUGUCCACUAAAUUUAUUGGACAAUAUCUAUGGCCUUUUCUAUCUGGUAAUAUUUCUUCUAAAGGUUGAUUUUUCAAUAUUUGUCAAAUGAAGGAAUAAAUUUAACAGGUUUGGUAUUACAAUUAUGCCGAAAUGUUUGAAAUUAAUUCAUUAGUUAAUUUGACAAAUGAAAACUCAGCCUUAAUAAAAAAACUAAGUUAUAACUUGUAAUUACUUAAAAAUUAAUGUGUUCUGAACAACAAAUUAAAAGUAAAUCCAAUUAUUUUCUUAAUAUUACCUAGUAAAUACAUAAAUUAAUAAAUAAAUAGGUAAAGAAAAUUAGUUAAAAAUUAAUGAAUACAUUUUUAAUGCUGGUAACUUUAUAUACAGCCUUGAUUAUUCAAUUAUUUAUUUAUGUUUGUGGAAAUUCUAAAAAAAAUAGGUGAACUUACUCUCACGAUAAUUAUGAAAUCCUAUAGUAGUUUGAGAUUAAAAACUACAAAAUAUUAAUAUACACCUUGCAUUGCUAAAUGUUUAGUCAUAGAAAAUUCUAUUUUAAAAUUUACUUGAUGUCUGAAUGUUUGUAAAUAAAUAUUACCUACUGUAAUCUGCACUGUAACUAUUUAAAUGGACUGUUGCUACAUACUAUACUUGUAUCUGUAUGAAAAAUAUUAUGAAUAUUUGUAUGUAUAGCUUGCGACAGAUCGACAUGGCAAUAGGGAUGGGGACGCCCCGCACACCCGCGCUAACCCAGUGCGGGACAGCGCAGAUGACGUGCGGGUGCGCGGGGCGUCUCCCCGCCUGAUACCUCGAUUGCCAUCUCAACCUGUCGCGUACUUAACUCAUACUAUAAAUUCACUAAAUAAAAGAUGGCCUUUUCUUGUAAGACAUCUCUAAAGCAUAAUAUAUUUUGUAAGUAAUAUAGUCCAUACAUUUUGAGAACUCACUCGCCAUUUUAGCUCAUGUCAACUGUGCUGUCAAAAGUACGAUUUUACAUGACAGUUGUGCAUAGAUCAAGCGCUUACCUAUAGUGAAUAAAAAAAAAAAAGAAUAACAAUAGCUAUAAUAAAAAAAAAGAUCAAAAAUGGCUAGGGAGUUCUCAAAAUGUAUGCAUUAUCCCUAUAUUUUAUUGAGAGUAAGUCAUCAUAUUAUAGAUUUAGAAAAUGUUGUGUCCUGGAAAGCUAUUGGUACUAUUAAUAUUUAAAAUGUUAACCGGCAUAAUGACAAAUUACUAGUUUUGUUAAGAUCAAUAAAUGCAAAAUGUUUUAAA
This is a long non-coding RNA of Maniola jurtina (meadow brown), 4699 nucleotides long. RefSeq lists it as uncharacterized. The transcript is spliced from 2 exons. NCBI's taxonomy places the organism in Eukaryota, Metazoa, Arthropoda, Insecta, Lepidoptera, Nymphalidae. The record is from RefSeq and is a predicted model, not a curated record.